UGGGGAAUAUUGCACAAUGGGGGGAAACCCUGAUGCAGCGACGCCGCGUGGAGGAAGAAGGUCUUCGGAUUGUAAACUCCUGUUGUUGAGGAAGAUAAUGACGGUACUCAACAAGGAAGUGACGGCUAACUACGUGCCAGCAGCCGCGGUAAAACGUAGGUCACAAGCGUUGUCCGGAAUUACUGGGUGUAAAGGGAGCGCAGGCGGGAAGACAAGUUGGAAGUGAAAUCUAUGGGCUCAACCCAUAAACUGCUUUCAAAACUGUUUUUCUUGAGUAGUGCAGAGGUAGGCGGAAUUCCCGGUGUAGCGGUGGAAUGCGUAGAUAUUCGGAGGAACACCGUGG
RNAcentral lists this ribosomal RNA (343 nucleotides) under uncultured Faecalibacterium sp. Its description in RNAcentral is "bacterial SSU rRNA". It matches the Rfam family "Bacterial small subunit ribosomal RNA", at positions 355 to 714 of the family's 1533-position model. The record is from RNAcentral. Lineage: Bacteria; Bacillati; Bacillota; Clostridia; Eubacteriales; Oscillospiraceae.